ACUUUUAUUUUUGGAUUUUGGUGAUUAUGCUUUGUUGGUCAUCGAUGAGCAUUGUCCAUCUUCCCUUUUGUGUUGUCGAUGAUCAGUAAACUGUAGAGCAGAGUUUGCUUGUGUUAAGGCAGUAUUAGAUACAGCAUCUGUAACUGUAUCUGAAGGAAUGAUCACACAGUCUUGUUGUAUCCUGCCAUGGUUAUAUAUACUCAAAGUUGAUGUUUUUUUAAA
RNAcentral lists this long non-coding RNA (222 nucleotides) under Nicotiana benthamiana. RNAcentral describes it as "long non-coding RNA (NBEN_LNC013248)". Lineage: Eukaryota; Viridiplantae; Streptophyta; Magnoliopsida; Solanales; Solanaceae. The record is from RNAcentral.